AGUGAACGCUGGCGGUAGGCCUAACACAUGCAAGUCGAACGGCAGCACAGUAAGAGCUUGCUCUUACGGGUGGCGAGUGGCGGACGGGUGAGGAAUACAUCGGAAUCUACUUUUUCGUGGGGGAUAACGUAGGGAAACUUACGCUAAUACCGCAUACGACCUACGGGUGAAAGCAGGGGAUCUUCGGACCUUGCGCGAUUGAAUGAGCCGAUGUCGGAUUAGCUAGUUGGCGGGGUAAAGGCCCACCAAGGCGACGAUCCGUAGCUGGUCUGAGAGGAUGAUCAGCCACACUGGAACUGAGACACGGUCCAGACUCCUACGGGAGGCAGCAGUGGGGAAUAUUGGGCAAUGGGCGCAAGCCUGAUCCAGCCAUGCCGCGUGAGUGAUGAAGGCCUUCGGGUUGUAAAGCCCUUUUGUUGGGAAAGAAAAGCAGCAUGUUAAUACCCCGCUGUUCUGACGGUACCCAAAGAAUAAGCACCGGCUAACUUCGUG
This 492-nucleotide ribosomal RNA is filed under the name uncultured bacterium. Its description in RNAcentral is "partial 16S ribosomal RNA". It matches the Rfam family "Bacterial small subunit ribosomal RNA", at positions 29 to 507 of the family's 1533-position model. The record is from RNAcentral.